Molecule: unclassified non-coding RNA, 328 nt
Filed under: soil metagenome
Description: partial contains 5.8S ribosomal RNA, internal transcribed spacer 2, and large subunit ribosomal RNA
Rfam family: 5.8S ribosomal RNA (bases 1-120)
Source: RNAcentral
GAUGAAGAACGUAGCGAAAUGCGAUAAGUAGUGUGAAUUGCAGAAUUCAGUGAAUCAUCGAAUCUUUGAACGCACAUUGCGCCCCUUGGUAUUCCGAGGGGCAUGCCUGUUCGAGCGUCAUUAUAACCCCUCAAGCUUAGCUUGGUAUUGGGGCCUGCCAUCCUGGCAGCCCUUAAAAUCAGUGGCGGUGCCAUCCGGCUCUAAGCGUAGUAAUUCUUCUCGCUAUGGAGUCCUGGUGGAUGCUUGCCAUUAAUCUUUUAACUUCUAUGGUUGACCUCGGAUCAGGUAGGGAUACCCGCUGAACUUAAGCAUAUCAAUAAGCGGAGGA